GCCUAAUCCGAAGUCCCACAACUAACGCAAGCUUUCUCGACGUCGGCGACGCAAACAGAGAAAACUACGGUAGAUAUACCAGGGCCAUAGAGGCCCUUCCGGCCCCUGCAGCGAUUCUACUAGGGUUUUGCGAAAUCGCGGCCGGAGCUCCGCCCGAGGCUUGAAUUCGGAAGCAAGAAGUGGCGGCGGAGAUGGACGGCGACGACGAGGGAGUGGCGGGGCCGAUGGGCGACGAGGCGAUGUUCUUGAACGGCGGCGACGAUGGCCACCAGCAGCAACGAGGGAUCAAGGCGGCGAUGGGCGGCGAGCAGAUGGACGUGGAGGCCUACGCGUCGCUGUACACCGGCCGGACCAAGGUGGUGCGGCUGCUCUUCAUCGCGGACCGCUUCGGAAACGACGGAAUACAGCUCGAGGCCCUCCGCCUCGCCUACGACGAGAUCAAGAAGGGCGAGGACUCCCGCCUCUACCGCGAAGUGGCCGGCAAGAUAGCCUGUCGCCUCGGGCCUCAAUACGCCCUCGACCAGGCCUGGGCCGACGCCGUCGCCCGCCGCGCCGAGCAGCGCAAGGACAAGCUCGAUAACGAGCUCAAUGUCUAUAGGACGAAUUUGAUCAAAGAGAGCAUCAGAAUGGGUUACAAUGAUUUAGGAGAUUUCUAUUAUGCUCAUGGUCAACUUGGGGAUGCCUUUAAGAAUUAUGUCCGUACCCGUGAUUAUUGCACUACUUCAAAACACAUUAUUCAGAUGUGUUUGAAUGUUAUUCUGGUCAGCAUCGAGUUGGGCCAGUUCUUGCAUGUGUCGAACUAUGUUGGUAAAGCUGAGCAAACACCAGAGUCGCCGGACCCUAUCACAGUUGCGAAGCUACGAUGUGCUGCAGGAUUGGCUUACAUGGAGGCGAAGAAGUACAAGCUUGCUGCUCGAAAGUUUUUGGAAACUGGGCCUGAACUAGGGAACAACUAUACAGAGGUGAUAGCACCCCAAGAUGUUGCUACAUAUGGUGGACUUUGUGCACUUGCAUCUUUUGACCGCACAGAACUGAAGAACAAAGUCAUUGACAACAUUAACUUUAGAAAUUUCUUGGAGUUGGUGCCUGAAGUAAGGGAGCUUAUACAUGACUUCUAUGCAAGCAUGUGUAGGUUUAUCUCCCGCAUAAAAGGCUUGGGUUGGCAAGUGCAAUGGCGGGGGUUCAAGUUCUGGAGCAGCUACUUUGUACCCGAAAAAAAGCCAAAUAUUAGCUUGUCCCCAGUCCGCCCAUCCCAGGACUCCGGAGUCCUGGGACCAGAAUUGAUCGCUAUGCUUCUUGCCUAGAGUAUCUUGAGAACCUUAAACCAAACCUGUUGCUGGACAUUCACUUACAUGAUCAUGUUGGAGCACUCUAUACUCAAAUUCGCCACAAAGCUAUCAUCCAAUAUACGCAUCCAUUCAUUUCUGUGGAUCUCCACAUGAUGGCCGGUGCCUUUAAAACUAAUGUUUCUGGAUUGGAGAAAGAACUCAAAGCUUUGAUAACUGACAACCAGAUUCAGGCCCGGAUAGAUUCGCACAACAAAAUUCUUUAUGCAAGGCAUGCUGACCAAAGAAAUGCAACAUUCCAGCGUGUCCUACUAACUGGUGUUGAGUUUGAGAGAGAUGUUAGGGCGAUGUUGCUGAGGGCCAAUCUCCUCAAACAUGAAUACAACCAAAGGGCACCAGCCAGGAAAGCUUGAGACAGAAUGCUUAUCACCCGAAUUGAUUUUUAGCUGAGGGUUUUUUAAUACUGCGAUCGCACCUCUUAUGGAUGGAAGCUAGUUUCCUUUUGUGCAUUCGUUUGUGAAAUCCAUGGUUAGAAUUUGUGGGGAUGUCAUGUAUUUGCCUGAUUGGGCCAUGAAAUUGAAACAUUUUCAUUUGUAUGGUGGCUGCGAUUUUAUGUACAUGCUUUGAGGUUGGAUA
Phoenix dactylifera (date palm) is the source of this 1922-nucleotide RNA transcript. It is a transcript of the gene named COP9 signalosome complex subunit 1-like, with no coding region annotated. Lineage: Eukaryota; Viridiplantae; Streptophyta; Magnoliopsida; Arecales; Arecaceae. The record is from RefSeq and is a predicted model, not a curated record.